AGUGGAGAGGAGAAGCAGCUGUGGUGGAGCAGAGUCAUCCAGGAAAAAAUCCUGGACCCAUGGGGUCUCGUCCAGGUGGUCCUCACCAACAAGAAGCUGAUUGGUAUUAAGUUCCUUGGUAGAAGGAUCCAUGGACUCAUGUCCGGCCUUGUCAAGAGGAGGUCUGAGUUCACCUAUUAUGAGGAUGCCCAGCAGGUGGAUAUCUCCACCACAGUGGAGGGGUACCAGGAGAGGGG
Molecule: long non-coding RNA, 236 nt
Organism: Coregonus clupeaformis (lake whitefish)
Lineage: Eukaryota; Metazoa; Chordata; Actinopteri; Salmoniformes; Salmonidae
Exons: 4
Source: RefSeq, a predicted model, not a curated record